CCUACGGGGGGCUGCAGUGGGGAAUAUUGGACAAUGGGGGCAACCCUGAUCCAGCCAUGCCGCGUGUGUGAAGAAGGCCCUCGGGUUGUAAAGCACUUUCAGUGAGGAAGAACGCCUGGUGGUUAAUACCCAUCAGGAAAGACAUCACUCACAGAAGAAGCACCGGCUAACUCCGUGCCAGCAGCCGCGGUAAUACGGAGGGUGCGAGCGUUAAUCGGAAUUACUGGGCGUAAAGCGCGCGUAGGUGGCUUGAUAAGCCGGUUGUGAAAGCCCCGGGCUCAACCUGGGAACGGCAUCCGGAACUGUCAAGCUAGAGUGCAGGAGAGGAAGGUAGAAUUCCCGGUGUAGCGGUGAAAUGCGUAGAGAUCGGGAGGAAUACCAGUGGCGAAGGCGGCCUUCCGGACUGACACUGACACUGAGGUGCGAAAGCGUGGGUAGCAAACAGGAUUAGAUACCCUUGUAGUC
Molecule: ribosomal RNA, 465 nt
Filed under: Vreelandella stevensii
Lineage: Bacteria; Pseudomonadati; Pseudomonadota; Gammaproteobacteria; Oceanospirillales; Halomonadaceae
Description: partial 16S ribosomal RNA
Rfam family: Bacterial small subunit ribosomal RNA
Source: RNAcentral